GUGGGGAAUAUUCCGCAAUGGACGAAAGUCUGACGGAGCAACGCCGCGUGAGUGAUGAAGGUUUUCGGACUGUAAAGCUCUGUUGUUUAGGACGAAAGUGCCUGUUGCAAACAGUUACAGGUAUUGACGGUACUAAACGAGGAAGCCACGGCUAACUACGUGCCAGCAGCCGCGGUAAUACGUAGGUGGCAAGCGUUGUCCGGAAUUAUUGGGCGUAAAGAGCAUGUAGGCGGGAAUCUAAGUCUGUUGUGAAAAUGCGGGGCUCAACCCCGUAUUGCGAUGGAAACUGGGUUUCUUGAGUGCAGGAGAGGAAAGGGGAAUUCCCAGUGUAGCGGUGAAAUGCGUAGAUAUUGGGAGGAACACCAGUGGCGAAGGCGCCUUUCUGGACUGUGUCUGACGCUGAGAUGCGAAAGCCAGGGUAGCGAACGGGAUUAGAUACCCCUGUAGUCC
Molecule: ribosomal RNA, 450 nt
Filed under: uncultured bacterium
Lineage: Bacteria
Description: partial 16S ribosomal RNA
Rfam family: Bacterial small subunit ribosomal RNA
Source: RNAcentral